GGUUGCCUGCGGCGUUCGACAACGGGCAGAUAGCAUUCUUGACCCUACAAUCAAACGCCUCAGGGGAGACGUUGGUAGUGCCACUGGUGUGCAUGUCCGCCUCGAGCGGAAAGCCUAAGGUGUCACUCGCCCUCCCCGACCUGAACCGAAGGGUUCAAGGGCGGUGUCCGUACGGCGUCGCGGGUAACCG
RNAcentral lists this non-coding RNA (190 nucleotides) under Spiribacter sp. 2438. RNAcentral describes it as "6S / SsrS RNA". It matches the Rfam family "6S / SsrS RNA". From Rfam's summary of the family: E. coli 6S RNA was the first non coding RNA to be sequenced, but its function was unknown until recently. Lineage: Bacteria; Pseudomonadati; Pseudomonadota; Gammaproteobacteria; Chromatiales; Ectothiorhodospiraceae. The record is from Rfam by way of RNAcentral.